CCAGCUUGAACUACAAUUUCUCCUUUGGAUGAAUCCACUUCUAAAACCGUCACUUUUUUCCCAAGGGAAGAGAUAUGAACAGUAUCACCAACCUUGGGAGGCUUAGACUUACCUGCAACAUCAAUAAGGUGAAUGACAUUUGCACCAGUAUUCCUAUGAUGUAAAAAAAUCCUCAGUAUAAGACUAGACAUCAUAACUUUAGUGUGUUCUAUCACUAGGUAAAAAUAAACUAGAGCGGUACACUUAAUUCAGAUGCAAGAAAUUAAAUAUAUUAUCUCAUUGCAGUUUGGUUUCCUUGUAUAUCCCUCAUGUUUCAUUAUCUUUCCACAUACCUGAACCUAAUGAUGAUUGACUAAAAACUUUUACAGCAGAUGUACUUCUAUCAGCAACAGUAGGUUCUUUGUUAUUUGCUGCAAUUUGGCUUUUGUUGGUUGCUGAUAAAUGAGAGCUGCUAAUAGUUUUAUUGUUCUGUGAAGGUUGCUUAGCUGAUAUAUCCAUUUCCCUCACUUUCUUGCGAAGGAUGGAUCUUGCCAUUGCUGCAGCGUCGGAUACAUCUCUCAUCUUUUUAAAUCGUAUAUC
This 579-nucleotide long non-coding RNA is filed under the name Phaseolus vulgaris (common bean). RNAcentral's name for it is "long non-coding RNA (PVUL_LNC001816)". The record is from RNAcentral. Lineage: Eukaryota; Viridiplantae; Streptophyta; Magnoliopsida; Fabales; Fabaceae.